CACCCUUGGCCACCCCUCCCCCUUCCCCUUGCAGCCGCCUUCCACUGCUUCCUCCUCUCUCUAGAUCUCCCCCCACAUAGCAAGGAUCGAGAAAAGGAGGAGCAAGAUGGAUUGAAGAGGAAGAGAGGAUCAAGGAGAUGUUCUACCCCCAUCUCUUGCAGAUUUUCUUGGGAAAACCCUAGGUAAGGAUGAGAUCCUUGUUCCUCCCUAUAAUUAUGUGCUUUUGGAGGUUGUGGAUCAUGUGGAUUGAAGGAUUAGAGGUUGGAUUAGAUGUGGGGUUACGUUUUGAUCUCGAAUUUAAUUUCUGCAGAAUGGCAGAUUCGACAGUUUCUGUUCAUGCCAGUUUUCCGUGGUCUCAGUGGCCUCAAAAAAUAAAAAGUCUAUAUAUGAGUCGUAGAUAAUUUGUAAAUCAUUCCGUGGCCGCGAAUAACACCUCAAUCGGACAUCAGAACAGAAAGUUAUUGCAGUUUGAUUAUAGCAGUUUUUCAGUCUCAUAAUUCUGUGCAGAAUCUGUUCUCUUAAGAGUUAGGCAAUUUUAUAAACAGAAUUAAACUGUGUGUUGGUAAAAGAAGUUGUAGAUAAUUUCAUAAGCUUUCCAGAUUGUUAAAGAGUGCAUUCAUAUGAUUUAUGAAACUCCGGUUAUGUUUGUUUUACUGUGGCUGUUCCUGUUUGCCUGACAAAAAUGAGUGGGUCUGUUCACUGGUGGGUUUCAUCUAGUAAAUUGCCGAAUGGGCUCUUCCAACUAUGGAGACUUUUGUAGAGGGAUAAAAGUUCUUACUGUCAGAAGAAUUUCAUAAAUUUUGGUUUAGUAGUUUGGGAGAUAUCGAAUUUUGAAGUUAACUAGGCUGCUGUCUAAAACAGAUUUAGUCAGUUAUCUUGUUAGAUGUUUUAGAACUUAUUGAUGGCAGAAUUUAAUUAUCCAUUGAAUACCGAAGUUGUAGAGUGUUUUGUGUAGAUACUCCUAGAGUAUUUGUUUGAUAUCACCACUGUUUUAAUUUUAAAUAUACAAAAUUAACAAACAGUGCUGCUGUUGUAUGGCAUGUGGUUUAGGGUGAGAGUCUUUCCACUGGGUCUUGGUUUCAAGUGUAGGAGUGUUUUGUUGAUCGUUGGCAAAUGUUUGUGAAAUAUUUGUACUAAUUUUUAUGCCCACUAGAAGGUGGCUACACUCCAUAUCAUGCGUAGUACAUUUUUUUUCUUCGAUGAAGGCAAGUGAAUGUAGCAGUGGUUGCUUCCGUUCCGACCUGUUAUUUCUAUUGCCUACACUCUCAUAUUCAGAAGUAUUGGAUUAUUUCAUAAUUGGACUCUAUGGUGAUGUUUUACUUGCUUGCAUUAUACUGAUGCUCAAUCAUAUAUUGAUGAUGAUUAUGAUUCGAGUAUGACUCAUGAGAUUAAUUCACACCCCUGAAGGUAAAUGAAGUAUUAUUUGAGGUUGGUAUUGUAUCUGAAGGUAAAUGAAGUAUUAUUUGAGGUUGUAUUGUAUGUGAAGGAAGUGAAGUAUAUUGAUAAAUGCAGCAUGCCAUAUACAUUGCAUGAUUCACUUGCAUAUGAAGUUGGGUCGUGACCUAUGGUCCGACCGUACCGGUACAACUUAGCAUUGUACGUUGCCCGAGGAGGGGUACGAUGCGGCUUCAUACACUUAGAGGUAUGAAGGCAGAGGACAUAUGCAUUGCAUUCAUAUGCAUUCAUUGAAGUGAUAUUUGCAGAUGAUGUGGUUUUACACCCUCAGAGGUAUGAAGACAGAGUACCUACACUUUGCACUCCUAUGCAUACAUUGAAGUGAUAUUUGCAAGUUUUGUUGACGCAAGGAAGUGUUAUAGAACCUAUUGUGUUUUUUCGAGAAAUGAGAUGGUAUUGGUUAUAUUAGGACUACUGAGUUCUAUAUCUACAAGUAUUUCUGAUCUUAAUUGUGAUUCUUUUAAAAUGUUGAUUAAUUCAAUUUGUGGUUUAAAUAUCUCAUCAAAACAAUUCGCUUGCUGAGAUGUUUUAUAUCACUCUUGCAUUACUCAAUGCAGGUGCUUGUUGUUCAUCCAGGGAAGUGGGAAGUAGCAGCAUAUCCACCUUCACUCUCAUAAUAACGCUGCUUAGGCGCAGUCAUGAUUUAAUUAGAAGCUUCUUGUCGAAGGAUGUUUGUUUCUAACUAGUUGUGCGCACUGGUUAAUUUAGUUCAUGUUGUUAUGGUUGUCUUCCCAUUGCUAGCAGAUUAUUAAUGUCGAUUAUGUUUUCUUAUCAUGAUAUCUAUUUAUACUUUGUUGCUUCC
This 2257-nucleotide long non-coding RNA is filed under the name Zea mays. Its description in RNAcentral is "long non-coding RNA (ZMAY_LNC001583)". Lineage: Eukaryota; Viridiplantae; Streptophyta; Magnoliopsida; Poales; Poaceae. The record is from RNAcentral.